UAAGGAAUAUUGGUCAAUGGAGGCAACUCUGAACCAGCCAUGCCGCGUGAAGGAUUAAGGCUCUCUGGGUUGUAAACUUCUUUUAUAUGGGCAGAAAUGUUCUGAUUCUUCAGAGCUUGACGGUACCAUAGGAAUAAGCACCGGCUAACUCCGUGCCAGCAGCCGCGGUAAUACGGCGGGUGCAAGCGUUAUCCGGAUUCACUGGGUUUAAAGGGUGCGUAGGUGGGCAGAUAAGUCAGUGGUGAAAUCUUCCGGCUUAACCGGAAAAUGUCCGUUGGUACUAUUUGUCUUGAGUAUUGUGG
Molecule: ribosomal RNA, 302 nt
Filed under: uncultured bacterium
Lineage: Bacteria
Description: bacterial SSU rRNA
Rfam family: Bacterial small subunit ribosomal RNA
Source: RNAcentral